GCAGGCCUAAUACAUGCAAGCUGAACGGUAAAUAUUAUAGCAAUAUAAUAUGAGAGUAGCGUAAGGGUGCGUAACACGUAUGCAAUCUGCCCUGUACAGGAGGAUAGCUCGCGGAAACCCGGAUUAAUACUCCGUAAUAUUGGUGAGUGGCAUCAGUUACUAAUUAAAGUCGCAAGAUGGUACAGGAUGAGCAUGCGUCUGAUUAGCUAGUUGGUAGUGUAACGGACUACCAAGGCGAUGAUCAGUAGGGGAACUGAGAGGUUGAUCCCCCACACUGGCACUGAGAUACGGGCCAGACUCCUACGGGAGGCAGCAGUAGGGAAUAUUGGUCAAUGGAUGCAAGUCUGAACCAGCCAUGCCGCGUGCAGGAAGAAGGCCUUCUGGGUUGUAAACUGCUUUUGCCGGGGGAUAAAAUUACCUUGCGAGGUAAAUUGAAGGUACCCGGUGAAUAAGCCACGGCUAACUACGUGCCAGCAGCCGCGGUAAUACGUAGGUGGCAAGCGUUGUCCGGAUUUAUUGGGUUUAAAGGGUGCGUAGGCGGCCUAUUAAGUCAGUUCUGAAAUAUCCCGGCUUAACCGGGAGGGUGGGAUUGAUACUGAUGGGCUUGAGUGGAGUCGAGGUAGGCGGAAUUGACGGUGUAGCGGUGAAAUGCUUAGAUAUCGUCAAGAACACCGAUAGUGUAGACAGCUUACUAGACUUA
This 700-nucleotide ribosomal RNA is filed under the name uncultured bacterium. Its description in RNAcentral is "bacterial SSU rRNA". It matches the Rfam family "Bacterial small subunit ribosomal RNA", at positions 42 to 737 of the family's 1533-position model. The record is from RNAcentral.